This 677-nucleotide unclassified non-coding RNA is filed under the name Hevea brasiliensis (rubber tree). Lineage: Eukaryota; Viridiplantae; Streptophyta; Magnoliopsida; Malpighiales; Euphorbiaceae. The record is from RNAcentral.
AUAUCAUUUGAUAUUUUCUGUUUUCAUGCUAGAGAUGUUUAAGAUUAUUGAAAUCCAUACUUGUUUCAUCUUGCCAACUAUAAUUCAUUUCCACUAUUUUCCAAUUACAUGACUGUCCACAUCUGCAGAUAGUGGGACCUAAUUGUGCAUAACCUACUAAAAGCAACUUACAAUUACAAAAUUAUACCCUUUUUUGGAGUUUUGAAAUGGAAUGGAUUGAGUUCUGAAAUAGGGGGAAAUUGUGUCUGAACCAGCAAAAUUUGAGUUAGAGAAAAAUUAGCUAGUUAUUAAUUGGAUUGGAAUGCCAUAGAUUAAACUUUCAUUCAAAAUGCUUCUGAAUGCGUGGCUCGUGGCUGCUACAAAUUUGGUUUCCAUUUCCCCCGGAUUGGAGUGGGAACUCUCAAGUUCACAGCAAUAUAGUUGCUAAGUUAUGUACUGUUCAUGCAGCUCUAUCUUGGAGGGAAAAGUAACACACCUUUGCAGUGAUAAAAGUCUCACUAGUUUAAGUUGGUAUGCCAAUAAGUCUUUUGCUUCUUAGAUGACAAGUUUAUAUUUGUGUUUGCUAUCAAUUGUUUUAAUUUGUGAAACUCUAUUUCAUGAUAUAUAAAUGAAUUUCCUUAGGCUUAUGCAUUUUCAUAUUUUCUCUUCAACACAGCGACGGGAUGCAAGUGAAAGUG